Molecule: ribosomal RNA, 500 nt
Filed under: uncultured Glomeromycotina
Lineage: Eukaryota; Fungi; Glomeromycota
Description: partial small subunit ribosomal RNA
Rfam family: Eukaryotic small subunit ribosomal RNA
Source: RNAcentral
CCAAUAGCGUAUAUUAAAGUUGUUGCAGUUAAAAAGCUCGUAGUUGAAUUUCGGGAUCAGUGCGCUGGUCGUGCCUCUGGUAUGUACUGGUGUUUCUGGUUCCUCCCUUCUGACGAACUUUCAUGCCAUUAAUUUGGUGUGUUGGGGAAUCAGGACUGUUACUUUGAAAAAAUUAGAGUGUUUAAAGCAGGCUCGCGCUUGAAUACAUUAGCAUGGAAUAAUGAAAUAGGACGUUCGAUCCUAUUUUGUUGGUUUCUAGGAUUGACGUAAUGAUUAAUAGGGAUAGUUGGGGGCAUUAGUAUUCAAUUGUCAGAGGUGAAAUUCUUGGAUUUAUUGAAGACUAACUACUGCGAAAGCAUUUGCCAAGGAUGUUUUCAUUAAUCAAGAACGAAAGUUAGGGGAUCGAAGACGAUCAGAUACCGUCGUAGUCUUAACCAUAAACUAUGCCGACUAGGGAUCGGAUGAUGUUAAUUUUUUAAUGACUCAUUCGGCGCCUUACG